AAUUCUCAAAUCACAACUUUUUGUGGCUUGGAUAGUUGGGUAUUUGCCUGUUCUAAUAGACUGGCUUACCUUAAAUAUAUAAGUGGUUAGUUUAGAAACUUAUUGGGUGUUGUAAAUAUAUUCAAUACAUCUAUGGUUCUGAAUUAUACUACAUAAUUAUUGAUAAUUGAUGA
RNAcentral lists this unclassified non-coding RNA (173 nucleotides) under uncultured Basidiomycota. Its description in RNAcentral is "sequence contains ITS2". RNAcentral also lists the same sequence under 1 other name. The record is from RNAcentral. Lineage: Eukaryota; Fungi; Basidiomycota.